UCGCUUAGUGGUAGAGCAUUCGAUUCGUAAUCGAAAGAUCCGUAGUUCAAUCC
This 53-nucleotide transfer RNA is filed under the name Fragilariopsis kerguelensis. Its description in RNAcentral is "partial tRNA". It matches the Rfam family "tRNA", at positions 10 to 59 of the family's 71-position model. From Rfam's summary of the family: Transfer RNA (tRNA) molecules are approximately 80 nucleotides in length. Lineage: Eukaryota; Bacillariophyta; Bacillariophyceae; Bacillariales; Bacillariaceae. The record is from RNAcentral.